This is a non-coding RNA of Ceratotherium simum simum (southern white rhinoceros), 265 nucleotides long. NCBI's taxonomy places the organism in Eukaryota, Metazoa, Chordata, Mammalia, Perissodactyla, Rhinocerotidae. The record is from RefSeq and is a predicted model, not a curated record.
UGGAGGAUAAAAGGCCUCAAGACGUGUAGCGGUCCCAUAGGGAACUCCACUAUCAUUCAUGUUAAUUAAUUAAAGGCUUAUCUGGGGAAGCGCUUAUAGGGGCUGGUCACCUACCUGCUCCGAGCCCGCAUGGUAGUUUUAGACUGCUGGCGGGAAAAACCGAGGCAUGUAAGAGAGUGAUUAUGACCUUUCUUUAAGGAGUAACACUCACAAGCAGCACACUUCUGACCCACUACACAGUCCCUAGAAAUUGUUCAGACUUUAU